RNAcentral lists this ribosomal RNA (378 nucleotides) under uncultured eukaryote. Its description in RNAcentral is "partial 18S ribosomal RNA". It matches the Rfam family "Eukaryotic small subunit ribosomal RNA", at positions 592 to 975 of the family's 1831-position model. The record is from RNAcentral.
CAAUAGCGUAUAUUUAAGUUGUUGCAGUUAAAAAGCUCGUAGUUGGAUUUCGGAUGGGACUUGCCGGUCCGUCGUUUCGAUGUGCACUGGCCAGUCCUAUCUUGUUGUCGGGGACUAGCUCCUGGGCUUCACUGUCCGGGACUAGGAGCUGACGAGGUUACUUUGAGUAAAUUAGAGUGUUCAAAGCAAGCCUACGCUCUGAAUACAUUAGCAUGGAAUAACACGAUAGAACUCUGGCUUAUCUUGUUGGUCUGUGAGACCAGAGUAAUGAUUAAGAGGGACAGUCGGGGGCAUUCGUAUUUCAUUGUCAGAGGUGAAAUUCUUGGAUUUAUGAAAGACGAACUUCUGCGAAAGCAUUUGUCAAGGAUGUUUUCAUUA